This 253-nucleotide ribosomal RNA is filed under the name uncultured bacterium. Its description in RNAcentral is "partial 16S ribosomal RNA". It matches the Rfam family "Bacterial small subunit ribosomal RNA", at positions 524 to 776 of the family's 1533-position model. The record is from RNAcentral.
GACGUAGGGUCCAAGCGUUGUCCGGAGUUACUGGGCGUAAAGCGCGCGCAGGCGGUUGGUCGCAUCGGUGGUGAAAGCCCCCCGCUUAACGGGGGAGGGUCCAUCGAGAUGGGCCGACUGGAGGCAGGGAGAGGCGAGUGGAAUUCCGGGUGUAGUGGUGAAAUGCGUAGAGAUCCGGAGGAACACCAGCGGCGAAGGCGGCUCGCUGGACCUGACCUGACGCUGAGGCGCGAAGGCGCGGGGAGCGAACGGG